Molecule: long non-coding RNA, 304 nt
Organism: Copidosoma floridanum
Lineage: Eukaryota; Metazoa; Arthropoda; Insecta; Hymenoptera; Encyrtidae
Source: RefSeq, a predicted model, not a curated record
CACGAACGAAGCUUAAAGUCUCACCAAAAAAACAGAUGCAAACGGAUGCCAUUCAAAGCUGACAUAAGCAACAGAGUUGCAUCGAAAGUUAAAUCCACGAAGGCAAAACGAAUACACAAAUGCAAUAAAUGCAAAAAGACAUACUAUACUAAAGGUGGCUUAACGCGGCACGUUAAAUAUGGUUGCGAGGGGACGAAAAAGCCUGCGUUUAUAUGUGAACAUUGUAAUCACGGUACAAUGCGUAAGUCCACAAUAGAGCGGCACAUAUGGAAGAAUCACGCUUAGGAUCGAAAAAGGUGUAAAA